AACGAUGAUGUCACUGCUUGCAGUGACUGAUUAGUGGCGAACGGGUGAGUAACACGUGAGGAACUUGCCCAUGAGCGGGGGACAACAUUCGGAAACGGAUGCUAAUACCCCAUAGGUGGAUUGGUCGCAUGACGAAUUCAUUAAAGGUGGCUUUGCUACCACUCAUGGAUAGCCUCGCGGCGUAUUAGCUAGUUGGUAAGGUAAUGGCUUACCAAGGCAGUGAUACGUAGCCGACUUGAGAGGGUGAUCGGCCACACUGGGACUGAGACACGGCCCAGACUCCUACGGGAGGCAGCAGUAGGGAAUCUUCCACAAUGGGUGCAAACCUGAUGGAGCAAUGCCGCGUGAGUGAAGAAGGUCUUCGGAUCGUAAAGCUCUGUUGUUAGAGAAGAACACGUGCUAGGUAACUACUAGCGCCUUGACGGUAUCUAACCAGAAAGUCACGGCUAACUAC
RNAcentral lists this ribosomal RNA (454 nucleotides) under uncultured Dolosigranulum sp. RNAcentral's name for it is "bacterial SSU rRNA". It matches the Rfam family "Bacterial small subunit ribosomal RNA", at positions 65 to 504 of the family's 1533-position model. Lineage: Bacteria; Bacillati; Bacillota; Bacilli; Lactobacillales; Carnobacteriaceae. The record is from RNAcentral.